CCAACUCAGAGCUGCAUCUGUCAGCUUUAAAGCAGAACAGGAUGGGAAGUUCACCUGAGCUACCCACAAAUCCUGGGAGCCUGUGUGAUCCUGCAGACCUGCUUUUCUCUCCAGUUCCCUGCUGACCGUGACAGUACUUCCUCACCUCAGAUUGUCUAUAUCUCACCCUGACAGGCUUGGUUUCCGUUCACCCUGCCUAGACACUUCUAUUUCCGGAGUAUCCGAGGUCUGUGGUGCUGGCUCAUUCUGCCCCCAACCCAGGGCUCCUGCUGGGAACUGGCCUUCCUGCUGAGAUGUGGGAGAAGAGCCAGAAAUAAAACCAGCCGCUAAAGUCUGGCAGUGAUGGGAUGCUCAUUGUCAUGUUCAGCCCCCUCCUCUGCUGGCCAGACCUACUGUCAUGUCCCUGUGUAGAUUCGCUAGAUUUCUCUGGGAAACCAAUAUCCCGAGAGUGAUGAGGCUGCUUGUUAAGCUGCUUGGUGGGAGGAAGGUAAUCACAGGGCUUCUCCGUGGAGUUGUCUAAUGUCCAGUGGUCUGUAUAAGAGAAGCUAUACAGGUUGCUUUUCCUUGGAUCUUUCUCUGGCUUCUUCCCUCCCCUAAUUCCUCCAUUUCCCCUCUGUCUACUUCCCUGAAUGUUUACAUGGCUCAGGUCUGAAAUCCUUUCUAAGGGGAUGCCAACAGAUGGAGUUACAUCUUGAGAGUGAGAGCAGGUGAGGAGCAGUUGGAAAAAAUUGCAGCACCAAAGAGCACAGAGGUGGGGCCUGGGGAGGACUAUCUGGAAGGAGGUCUCUGCAUAUGAGUGCAGAGUGGGGACCUUGGAAGAAGUCACAGAGUGACAGAAGUCAGCCCCACUUUUCUAUCCAUCCAAACUUAGUGCCUGCCUUGACCAGGGACCGUGCGUGUCCUUGUCCCUUGGGAGCUUACAUUCUAGCCAACCAAUAAGCACACAAGGUAGAUUAUAGAGUUAGCUACAUGAAAUACUCUGGGGGCAGGGAAGAGUAGGGCGGCACAAGGGAAACUGAGAAUCUUGUCAGGGUAAAGGGAGAUGCAUCAAUUCAUCAUCUUGCGGUAUGGAGAUUGAACCCAGGGGCUCUCUACUGCUGAGCUGCAUCCCCAGCCCUUCUCAUUUUCUUUUGGGACAGGAUCUUACUAAGUUGCUGAGGCUGGCCUUGAACUUGAGAUCCUCCUGCCUCAGCCUCCCAAGACACAGAUUACGGGCGUACACCACCACAGCCAGCUAAGAUGCAAUUUAAACAAGGACAUUUGAGCAGAGAUUUGAAGAAGGUGAUCAAGUGAGCAUGUGAGUGUCUAGAGGAAGUAUUCAGGCAGAAGUGACAGCAAAUGCAAAGGUCCUGGGGCAGAAGCAUGUCUAGUAUGUUGAAGGAUCACCAGGCAGUCAGUUUGGCAAUAUCAGAGUGAUCAAAGCUGGGAAUAGUAAAUCAGAGGUUACAGAGGCACCAGACCAUCCAGAGCUUAGACUAUUGUAAGAACUCAGUGAGAAUGGGUACCAUUUUCAGCAGGAGAGAUACAUGAUCUGACUUCUGUUUUGACAGCAUUACAAGCUGCUACAUUGAACAUAGACCACAGGGUGCAGGGUGGGAGCUAGGAGACCUGUAAGGAGCUAGUGCCACAAUCCAGGUGAGAGGUGAUGGUGACUCAAACCAGAGUGGAGUCGGCUGCAUGCUGCACAGAUGAGGACAAAUUGGGAGCCUUUAAAAGGCCUGAGGGCCCCUGUUUCUCUGAAGUCAUGGACUGCCCACCCCAACAGAAGCUCCCCUUCUCUCUUGUCCUUUUAUGGGAUCUGUCAGCCCUUCCUGUUCUCACAUGUCCACAGUACACUGGAGGGGUGCCGUCACAGGUCUUCUGGGUGACAGAGUGGCAGUGGGGAACUCGAGACGGCUCUGUUGAGAAGCAAUGGGUGAGUCAGAGACCUCCAGCAGGCCAUGGUCAUACCAUUGACACCUGCAUGGAUGUCCCUGCUGUUGAGGGACAGUGAGGAGGGUCCAGUUGAUGUUCAGGUGUCAGUGUGACUAACGGAGUUGAGGCAGCUGAAACCUCUGCAGGUACCAGUAUUUCCUUGGCAGGGGUCCCCUCCUAUCAUGGAUUUUGUGGACGAGAGGUAGUGAGUCGGAGCUGGCAUGUGCCGGGCCCCUCCUCGCCACCUGCACCACGUGGGCGCCUUUCUUUGCCGUGUGCACUGUGGAGCGCCAGCUCUUGAAGCUCAGUCUCUCCUGUCAUCCAGCCGAGGGAGCCAAGGCUCAGAGAGGUAGAAGCACUUCUCCCAGAGACAGAUGUGAACCUAGCCCUGCCCUUGCCACCAUAUGGCACCCCUCAGUCAGGACGGUUAUAUAAUUAUCAGUGGGACCAAAGCCACCAACUGGAGACUGCCAGUGUCAGUCAUUUGCAAGAGUGAUGGGCACCCUGCUCCCAACCCCAGUCUCUUGGGUGGUGACAGCUUGCUUAUGUUUCAGCCCAGACCCUCUGGGUCCAUCUGGCCUGGAGGCACACUGAACCAACUGAUUUGGG
This 2523-nucleotide long non-coding RNA is filed under the name Marmota monax (woodchuck). Lineage: Eukaryota; Metazoa; Chordata; Mammalia; Rodentia; Sciuridae. The record is from RNAcentral.